GCCUUGUGAAAAAGAUGCUUGCUUCCUCUUCCCCUUCGGCCAUGAUUUAGAUAUCCAGCCAAUGAGAGAAAUAUCUGAGGGAGCAAAUACCUGAAAGUGUAGCAGAGAACAUGAAUGACCUCUUCAUAACAAGAAGUAAAUUGCAAUACUGAUUGACCAUGAAAAUCAGUAAUUCUAGGAGCUAAUCUUGAAACAAGCCAGGCAUGGAGACCCAGCUGCAGAACUCUCCUUCAUCUAGAGAUUACCUCAAGGUGGUUCAUCGACAAUGCAUCUGCAGUCGAGAUGGUGCCAGCUGGUACUGCACGAUAACUCAAGAGAGCAAUCAGAACAAGACAUGCAGACCAGUACUCUGCACCACUCUCAUAUGUUUUUCAUACCAAACUUCCCUUUUUAAACCCCUUCAAUCAGUCUAAAAAUUUGGAGGCUUGAGCCAAGCCAUCUCCUCAUCUGUUAGCAUUUAAAUAAAGCUGCUUUUCUUCAGCCACACC
RNAcentral lists this long non-coding RNA (488 nucleotides) under Homo sapiens (human). RNAcentral describes it as "HSALNT0284429". Lineage: Eukaryota; Metazoa; Chordata; Mammalia; Primates; Hominidae. The record is from RNAcentral.